Molecule: unclassified non-coding RNA, 279 nt
Filed under: plant metagenome
Description: partial contains small subunit ribosomal RNA, internal transcribed spacer 1, and 5.8S ribosomal RNA
Source: RNAcentral
UUUCCGUAGGUGAACCUGCGGAAGGAUCAUUAUUGUAUAACCGAGGUCCGAGGGCUGUCGCUGACACGAAAGCUCGUGCACGCCCGAGUGCCCUCACACACAUCCACCCCACCCCGAUGUACACAACCGCGUCGGUCCCCCUUCGCUUUGUUCGGAGGGGGGCUGACGUUUUUUUACACACUUUGUAUGCUGUGUAGAAUGUAUAUGUAGUUUUUGCGAUAUCGCAAUCAAUAAAACUUUAGACAACGGAUCUCAUUGCUCUCUCAUCGAUGAUGAACC